Molecule: non-coding RNA, 90 nt
Filed under: unclassified sequences
Source: RNAcentral
GGCUUAAUGCGGCCAGAGGAAAUGGUGAUGCUUAUUACGUGCUCACCAUGAUUCUGUCUGUUGCAAGCCAGAAGAAACGCAGAGCAAGUC